This 250-nucleotide ribosomal RNA is filed under the name uncultured bacterium. RNAcentral describes it as "partial 16S ribosomal RNA". It matches the Rfam family "Bacterial small subunit ribosomal RNA", at positions 524 to 773 of the family's 1533-position model. The record is from RNAcentral.
UACGGAGGGUGCAAGCGUUAUCCGGAUUUAUUGGGUUUAAAGGGUCCGCAGGCGGACUAUUAAGUCAGUGGUGAAAGCCCACAGCUCAACUGUGGAAUUGCCAUUGAUACUGGUAGUCUUGAGUGCGUAUGAAGUUGGCGGAAUGUGUGGUGUAGCGGUGAAAUGCUUAGAUAUCACACAGAACACCGAUUGCGAAGGCAGCUGACUAAUACGUUACUGACGCUCAGGGACGAAAGUGUGGGGAUCAAAC